UCUCCUCGUUUGGAUUAAUUCUGAUAUAAUAACUGUUGGUUUAUUUAUCGGUGGAGCAGCAGACAGUUUUCCUGCCCGUUGGCUUGUUUUAACCAGUUUUCUACCUUUGGCUGAUUCUACCAGCAGACACUGAAAGGACUCUGAUAGUUCGAGUGAAAGUAGCAGUUCCUCCUUAAGGUCAGAGAUUGCAGCAUCUGAGGGCCUCUUCAAAAGAAGACGUAGUUGAUGACGGCAUUCUGGAGCAGGACCAGAAAGACCACGACCAAGCAGCCUUGAGAUCUUAGGCAGCGUCUCCCUCAGGUCCCUCUCUAUCUCCCCACACAUCCACCAACCACUGGAACACAUCUCCAAAGUUCUGCCGAGCCAGCUCAGCUUCCCCUCAGAAGAAGUGCUGCCACCUGCCAGAUGAAGGAGCCUUUUGAGAGGCAGCUGGCAUCGUGAUUGGACUGUACUUUGGUCUGUUCCAAUCCAGCUUCAGCUCCAGAGACGGCAGGCGGGACGAGUCAACGGAGGCCGGGUGGACAAAGGCAUGCAGCUGAGUACAAUCCAGAAAACAACAGAGGAGGAGUGCAGCGGCCCAGGGCCAGAACAAACAACCAAAGAACUACAGACUCUUCACAACCUGCUCAAACUCUUGGUACAGGACCUCACUACACGGGUCAAGAAGGUUUCCGUCUCAUUUCUACUCUGAAGAUCACCUUCUCCUGCUCAAACUGCUGACAAAUGUUUCUGCUGCUCUAAAGUCUGGUCUCCAGAACUUCCUAAAACUCUCAAAGUCUCUUCUGCUGCAGGUUGCUUUGUAGAACUGUUGCAGAAAACCUCACUAAACCCCAUGGAGGGGCCUCAAGAUAGUCAUCCAAAUGAAACCGUACAAAAACCAAACUAGCACAACCCAAACGCUAAAGUCUCCUGCAGCCUACCAGAGAACCUCUGAGAACAGAGAAUCAGGACAGGAACUCUUACCUUCUGGACAACCAACGCUGGUUCUCAAACAAGAAUACAGAAUGUGUCUGACCAAAAACCUCUAAAGACUCACCACAGCCAAGAUAAAGACACAACUCAGCUGCACCAAAUCCACUAAUCACUGCACACAUUAGCACCAUGUGCUAACUGUGGCUAAAGAACCACAUUUACCAAGACAACUAUCCAGUACAAAGCCCUAAAACACACCAAGAAACACAUUAAAGACGAUUUUACUGCUGGAAGCUGCAAGCCAACGCCUAAAGAACAACCUAAAGCAAUGGAGCCAAACCCAGUUCACUGGUGAAGAGAAGCAGAGGAAAUGUUUGAUGCAGCUAAAUAAAGCAGGAAGACACUGAGCUGCUCAGGUGUUCCUGAUAACACCAAGCAGCCACCUGGACAGCCAAUAGGAACACAGCUUACUGGAAGUCCAGAGGGCUGGGUUAGUGAAGGAAAUUUAGUUUAAAGUUGAAGCAGAAAGUUAACAAAGAAAGUUGAAAACCACCUUCUGAUACCUGAAAUCUCUGAGUUUUCACACAAAGAACGCCUGAACAUGUCAAACUGGUUUCAUAGUAGAACCAUCAUUGUAAAAACGUCAUAGUAUGGUGUGUUGCUCAAAAAACAUUACGACCCAGCUGUAUAGGGUCACCGAGGAGCAACACAAAAACAGGACAAAUGCUGGUUUCCAGGGGGUUAGGCAGCUAUUUAUUUGAAAGAGUAAGUUUAUGACAACACAGCAUGUGAACAGAUAAAUCACAAAGUCUGUCUUUAGUUCAGCUGAAAAUAUUAGAGUUUAUAUAAUAAUAAUAGAGUUUUUGUCUUUUUUAUUGACCAAACUUUUCAGGAAGUAGAUGAAGAAUAAUUAAAGCUCUCAUGUAGAAGUCCAACGUGUUUUGGAUCCUUGUGGAGAGUUUAAUCUUAGAGUUUGUACAGCUGUUGAGUUUUUAGAGUCACAUGGAUUGUUUUGACAUUUAAUAACUGAGUCCUGAAAUAAAAUUACAGUUGUGGAUUUCUGUCAUUUAGUCUGGACUAAACAAAUAACAGCAGCAUAAAUCUCAAACGUCAUUAUGAGGAGUCUGGAUUGAGGUUUCUCACUUGAUAAUGAUCAAAACAUGAAAUUUAGGUUGGUUUAAAGGAAUAUUCCACCUUAAAUCUUUGAAUGUUGACCUAAAAGGUUGGUUUCAGGAAGUAUUCCACCUACAAGGUCCUCAAACAUCCACCUUAAAGGAACAUUCCACCAAAAAUCCUUGGACAUGCACCUAAAAUGUUGGUUUAACCGAGUAUUCCAUCCAAAAUCCUCAAAGAGACCUGAGGGGCUGGUUAAAAUGAAUCUUCCACCUAAAACCUCACCCGAAAGGGUGGUUUAGAAAAAAAUCCUUCAAUGUAGACCAAAAAAGUUAGUAUGGAGGAAUAUUCCACCUGAAAUUUAGACCUGAGAAGUUGGUUCGGAAGAAUAUACCAUCCUAAACAUCUUUAAAUGUAGACUAAAAGACGGUUUGGAAGAAAAUUCCACCUAAAAUCCUCCAAUGUAGACCUAAAAGGUGAGUUUAAUGGUAUAUUCCACCUAAAAUUCCCUACUGUAGACCUUGGAGGUUGAUCUGAUGGUAUAUUCCACCCAACAUCCUUGAACAUAAACUUAAAAACUUCAAAGUUCAAAGGAAUAUUCCACCUAAAAUCCUUCAAUGUAGACCAAAAAAAUCUUGGUGUAAAGGAGUAUUCCACCUUAAAUGUAGACCUAAAGGAUGGUUUGGAGUAAUAUUCUACUCUAAAAUCUUCCAAUGUAGACCUAGAAGGUUUACCUGAUGGUAUAUUCUACUCAACAUCCUGGAACAUUUACCUAAAAGGUUGGUUUAAUGGUAUAUUCCCAGAACCCUUGAACAUUGGGCUUAGUGGUAUAUUCCACCCAAAAUACUUGUACAUAUACCAAGAAGUCAGUGUAAAGGAAAUGUAGACCUAAAAGGAUCGUUUAAAGGAAUAUUUAAACUAUUAUUUUCAUUAUUUAAUAAUCUGUUAUCAGUCAGAACCCUGGCAAACUUAUUUUCAUCAGUUUUUUAGUGGAAGUCACAAAUAAAGGAGCUCUUGGUUUUUCCUGGCGUUACUGAGUCCAAAGCUGCUGUUUCAACACAGACAUGUUCACAUGCAUCCACAAACCUCUCAGCCCUCAAACACCCACAGACAGGAGGCCGGCUGGACCGAG
Molecule: long non-coding RNA, 3157 nt
Organism: Amphiprion ocellaris (clown anemonefish)
Lineage: Eukaryota; Metazoa; Chordata; Actinopteri; Pomacentridae
Exons: 4
Source: RefSeq, a predicted model, not a curated record